Molecule: ribosomal RNA, 406 nt
Filed under: uncultured bacterium
Lineage: Bacteria
Description: partial 16S ribosomal RNA
Rfam family: Bacterial small subunit ribosomal RNA
Source: RNAcentral
AUUGAACGCUGGCGGCAGGCCUAACACAUGCAAGUCGAGCGAGCGGCGGACGGGUGAGUAAUGUCUGGGAAACUGCCUGAUGGAGGGGGAUACCUACUGGAAACGGUAGCUAAUACCGCAUACCAUCAGAUGUGCCCAGAUGGGAUUAGCUAGAAGGUGGGGUAACGGCUCACCUAGGCGACGAUCCCUAGCUGGUCUGAGAGGAUGACCAGCCACACUGGAACUGAGACACGGUCCAGACGCCUACGGGAGGCAGCAGUGGGGAAUAUUGCACAGUGGGCGCAAGCCUGAUGCAGCCAGGACGCGUGUGUGAAGAAGGCCUUCGGGUUGUAAAGCACUUUCAGCGGGGAGGCGUUACCCGAAGAAGAAGCACCGGCUAACUCCGUGCAAGCAGACGCGGUAGUUC